GAUGAACGCUGGCGGCGUGCCUAAUACAUGCAAGUCGAGCGAACGGACGAGAAGCUUGUUUCUCUGAUGUUAGCGGCGGACGGGUGAGUAACACGUGGAUAACCUACCUAUAAGACUGGGAUAACUUCGGGAAACCGUAGCUAAUACCGGAUAAUAUUUUGAACCGCAUGGUUCAAAAGUGAAAGACGGUCUUGCUGUCACUUAUAGAUGGAUCCGCGCUGCAUUAGCUAGUUGGUAAGGUAACGGCUUACCAAGGCAACGAUGCAUAGCCGACCUGAGAGGGUGAUCGGCCACACUGGAACUGAGACACGGUCCAGACUCCUACGGGAGGCAGCAGUAGGGAAUCUUCCGCAAUGGGCGAAAGCCUGACGGAGCAACGCCGCGUGAGUGAUGAAGGUCUUCGGAUCGUAAAACUCUGUUAUUAGGGAAGAACAUAUGUGUAGGUAACUGUGCACAUCUUGACGGUACCUAAUCAGAAAGCCACGGCUAACUACGUG
RNAcentral lists this ribosomal RNA (497 nucleotides) under uncultured bacterium. RNAcentral's name for it is "partial 16S ribosomal RNA". It matches the Rfam family "Bacterial small subunit ribosomal RNA", at positions 28 to 507 of the family's 1533-position model. The record is from RNAcentral.